GUACUUGCUACAGCAGCACAUUUAUUAAAAGUGGAAUGUUGCAGAGAAGAUUAACAUGGCCCUUGCACAAGGAUGACAUGCAAUUCAUGAAGUGUUCCAUAUUUUA
Small nuclear RNA from Otolemur garnettii (small-eared galago), 106 nucleotides. NCBI's taxonomy places the organism in Eukaryota, Metazoa, Chordata, Mammalia, Primates, Galagidae. The record is from Ensembl.